Molecule: small nucleolar RNA, 142 nt
Organism: Cavia aperea (Brazilian guinea pig)
Lineage: Eukaryota; Metazoa; Chordata; Mammalia; Rodentia; Caviidae
Gene: SNORA72
Rfam family: Small nucleolar RNA SNORA72
About the family: U72 is a member of the H/ACA class of snoRNAs.
Source: Ensembl
CUUAAAAUAUUCUCAAAAGGGUUGGGUAAAGAAGAACAAAAACAGGAAGUGCAAUGAGAGAAUUAGGGGUUGUAAGAUCACACCUGUGUCUCCAGAUCUAAAUCUUCCCUUUAGUCUGGCUUGACAAAUGCUGGUGAUAAAC